AGCGAACGCUGGCGGCAUGCUUAACACAUACAAGUCGCGCGGGUGGUUUCGGCCAUCAGCGGCGGACGGGUGAGUAUCGCGUAGGAAUGUAUCCCGAGGUGGGGGACAACCCUGGGAAACUGGGGCUAAUACCGCAUGGGGCCUGUGGGUCAAAGCCUUAGGGCGCCUUGGGAGCAGCCUGCGUCCGAUUAGGUAGUUGGUGGGGUAAAGGCCUACCAAGCCUGCGAUCGGUAGCUGGUCUGAGAGGACGGUCAGCCACACUGGGACUGAGACACGGCCCAGACUCCUACGGGAGGCAGCAGUGGGGAAUAUUGGACAAUGGGCGCAAGCCUGAUCCAGCAAUGCCGCGUGGGUGAAGAAGGUCUUCGGAUUGUAAAGCCCUUUCGGCGGGGACGAUGAUGACGGUACCCGCAGAAGAAGCCCCGGCUAACUUCGUG
RNAcentral lists this ribosomal RNA (437 nucleotides) under uncultured bacterium. Its description in RNAcentral is "partial 16S ribosomal RNA". It matches the Rfam family "Bacterial small subunit ribosomal RNA", at positions 28 to 507 of the family's 1533-position model. The record is from RNAcentral.